RNAcentral lists this ribosomal RNA (689 nucleotides) under Escherichia coli. RNAcentral describes it as "partial 23S ribosomal RNA". It matches the Rfam family "Bacterial large subunit ribosomal RNA", at positions 2259 to 2925 of the family's 2925-position model. Lineage: Bacteria; Pseudomonadati; Pseudomonadota; Gammaproteobacteria; Enterobacterales; Enterobacteriaceae. The record is from RNAcentral.
UGGUGGGUAGUUUGACUGGGGCGGUCUCCUCCUAAAGAGUAACGGAGGAGCACGAAGGUUGGCUAAUCCUGGUCGGACAUCAGGAGGUUAGUGCAAUGGCAUAAGCCAGCUUGACUGCGAGCGUGACGGCGCGAGCAGGUGCGAAAGCAGGUCAUAGUGAUCCGGUGGUUCUGAAUGGAAGGGCCAUCGCUCAACGGAUAAAAGGUACUCCGGGGAUAACAGGCUGAUACCGCCCAAGAGUUCAUAUCGACGGCGGUGUUUGGCACCUCGAUGUCGGCUCAUCACAUCCUGGGGCUGAAGUAGGUCCCAAGGGUAUGGCUGUUCGCCAUUUAAAGUGGUACGCGAGCUGGGUUUAGAACGUCGUGAGACAGUUCGGUCCCUAUCUGCCGUGGGCGCUGGAGAAUUGAGGGGGGCUGCUCCUAGUACGAGAGGACCGGAGUGGACGCAUCACUGGUGUUCGGGUUGUCAUGCCAAUGGCACUGCCCGGUAGCUAAAUGCGGAAGAGAUAAGUGCUGAAAGCAUCUAAGCACGAAACUUGCCCCGAGAUGAGUUCUCCCUGACUCCUUGAGAGUCCUGAAGGAACGUUGAAGACGACGACGUUGAUAGGCCGGGUGUGUAAGCGCAGCGAUGCGUUGAGCUAACCGGUACUAAUGAACCGUGAGGCUUAACCUUACAACGCCGAAGCUGUU